RNAcentral lists this ribosomal RNA (530 nucleotides) under uncultured bacterium. RNAcentral's name for it is "partial 16S ribosomal RNA". It matches the Rfam family "Bacterial small subunit ribosomal RNA", at positions 355 to 873 of the family's 1533-position model. The record is from RNAcentral.
UGGGGAAUAUUGCACAAUGGGCGCAAGCCUGAUGCAGCCAUGCCGCGUGUGUGAAGAAGGCCUUCGGGUUGUAAAGCACUUUCAGCGAGGAGGAAGGUGGUGAGCUUAAUACGCUCAUCAAUUGACGUUACUCGCAGAAGAAGCACCGGCUAACUCCGUGCCAGCAGCCGCGGUAAUACGGAGGGUGCAAGCGUUAAUCGGAAUUACUGGGCGUAAAGCGCACGCAGGCGGUUUGUUAAGUCAGAUGUGAAAUCCCCGGGCUCAACCUGGGAACUGCAUUUGAAACUGGCAAGCUAGAGUCUCGUAGAGGGGGGUAGAAUUCCAGGUGUAGCGGUGAAAUGCGUAGAGAUCUGGAGGAAUACCGGUGGCGAAGGCGGCCCCCCUGGACGAAGACUGACGCUCAGGUGCGAAAGCGUGGGGCAGCAAACAGGAUUAGAUACCCUGGUAGUCCACGCUGUAAACGAUGUCGAUUUUGGAGGUUGUGCCCCUUGAGGCGUGGCUUCCGGAGCUAACGCGUUAAAUCGACCGCC